AUUGAACGCUGGCGGCAGGCCUAACACAUGCAAGUCGAGCGGAUGACGGGAGCUUGCUCCUUGAUUCAGCGGCGGACGGGUGAGUAAUGCCUAGGAAUCUGCCUGGUAGUGGGGGACAACGUUUCGAAAGGAACGCUAAUACCGCAUACGUCCUACGGGAGAAAGCAGGGGACCUUCGGGCCUUGCGCUAUCAGAUGAGCCUAGGUCGGAUUAGCUAGUUGGUGGGGUAAUGGCUCACCAAGGCGACGAUCCGUAACUGGUCUGAGAGGAUGAUCAGUCACACUGGAACUGAGACACGGUCCAGACUCCUACGGGAGGCAGCGGUGGGGAAUAUUGGACAAUGGGCAAAAGCCUGAUCCAGCCAUGCCGCGUGUGUGAAGAAGGUCUUCGGAUUGUAAAGCACUUUAAGUCGGGAGGAAGGGCAGUAAGUUAAUACCUUGCUGUUUUGACGUUACCGACAGAAUAAGCACCGGCUAACUCUGUGCCAGCCGCCGCGGUAA
RNAcentral lists this ribosomal RNA (500 nucleotides) under uncultured bacterium. RNAcentral describes it as "partial 16S ribosomal RNA". It matches the Rfam family "Bacterial small subunit ribosomal RNA", at positions 30 to 523 of the family's 1533-position model. The record is from RNAcentral.